ACCCUUCGUGGAGGUAUAUGGAUGCGUUAUUGACUCUAUGUGCUUCAGUAGAUUUAGAAAGUGGUUAUAAACAGAUACUACAUUGUAAUAGAGUCAGUAGCAUUC
Long non-coding RNA from Ipomoea nil (Japanese morning glory), 105 nucleotides. RefSeq lists it as uncharacterized. Lineage: Eukaryota; Viridiplantae; Streptophyta; Magnoliopsida; Solanales; Convolvulaceae. The record is from RefSeq and is a predicted model, not a curated record. The transcript is spliced from 3 exons.